CGGUGCGAGGGGGUCGUACGUCAUGCAGAGUGAUGGCGGAAUAUGCUGCAUGCGUGCGACCUCCUUACACAGC
Non-coding RNA from Ornithorhynchus anatinus (platypus), 73 nucleotides. NCBI's taxonomy places the organism in Eukaryota, Metazoa, Chordata, Mammalia, Monotremata, Ornithorhynchidae. The record is from Rfam.